GCCUAUUAUUACUGAUCUCACUAUUAUCGCUGGUGAACAACGGGAAGACGGUGAAGGAAUCGCUAAUGCCAUUUGCACUCGAAUCCUUGAGGUUCCAGUUUAGCAAAAGUUGCCUUCUCUGUAUCUAUUAGACAGCAUCGUUAUUUCUCAUCUCGUCUACCAGAGGUCUUCUGUCUAGCAUACAAGCAAGCACAUCCGAGUUUACAUCCUUCAAUGCGUCAUUUGUUUGGGACUUGGUCAAGUGUUUUUCCACCGCCUGUACUA
This is a non-coding RNA of Camelina sativa (false flax), 264 nucleotides long. The record is from RefSeq and is a predicted model, not a curated record. Lineage: Eukaryota; Viridiplantae; Streptophyta; Magnoliopsida; Brassicales; Brassicaceae.